UACGUAGGGGGCGAGCGUUGUCCGGAAUGAUUGGGCGUAAAGGGCGCGUAGGCGGCCUGUUAAGUCUGGAGUGAAAGUCCUGCUUUCAAGGUGGGAAUUGCUUUGGAUACUGAUGGGCUGGAGUGCAGGAGAGGUUAGUGGAAUUCCCGGUGUAGCGGUGAAAUGCGUAGAGAUCGGGAGGAACACCAGUGGCGAAGGCGACUAACUGGACUGUAACUGACGCUGAGGCGCGAAAGUGUGGGGAGCAAACAGG
Molecule: ribosomal RNA, 253 nt
Filed under: uncultured bacterium
Lineage: Bacteria
Description: partial 16S ribosomal RNA
Rfam family: Bacterial small subunit ribosomal RNA
Source: RNAcentral